Amaranthus tricolor (Joseph's coat) is the source of this 896-nucleotide long non-coding RNA. RefSeq lists it as uncharacterized. The transcript has 3 exons. NCBI's taxonomy places the organism in Eukaryota, Viridiplantae, Streptophyta, Magnoliopsida, Caryophyllales, Amaranthaceae. The record is from RefSeq and is a predicted model, not a curated record.
CGCAGCAAAUAAUUAGCAGCAAAUACAUUUUUUUCCACUAGUGUAAGUUAAGUAAGUUUAAUAAUAUUUAUAUAUUGCGUAUACAUUGCGUAUAUAUAUAUAUAUAUAUAAUUAAAAUACCCAAAACCCCUUUCGUACCCGGUAACCCCAUUACCCCCAACAUUUCUUUUCCCUCGUCUCACUUAUUCUAAUUACCCACUAAACCCUUCCCUUCUUCCUCAUACGUACAACCCAAAAUUACACUCAUCUUCCUCAUUCAAUCCAUUGAUUUUCGAGUAAACCAAGUUCCAUGGAUGCCCUACUCUCCUUGUUGAUUGUUGGUGUAAACAAACUAAGGGGACGACGUCAUCGAGGAACCUUUCUAGCAAUCGCGGAGAAACAGACUUAGCUCCUUGAAGCAUCUUUGUUUGAUUACAGAUUGGAACCGGCCGGGAACGAUGGGUUAGCGAUGUUGAUUAGAGUGCCAAGGAUGUCAUUUUGAGCUGAGCACGUGGGAAUUUAUAGUUUUGUAUACGGAUUUUGAUAGAUGUAUAUUAGUCUUGGUUGUAUUGGUUAUAUUGGACUCGAAGUGAAUUGUAUGAUUACCUUAUGUCUUAGUUAGAUGUUUGGUUUGAAAAUUAGCUGAGUUAAUUACGUCAAAGAGCUGGUGACCUCUUUGCUCAAGUUUUGGAAGUAUGAUUUAAGUUUCUUGGGAAAUGAACCCCGUGAUGAUCCUGUUUACUCAGUUAAUGGUAAGUCGGGUUGUUACAGUAAUUAGGUAAAUUAGGUUAGAUUAAUAAAUUUAAUUGAAAGUCAAAGGUGAUUUACAUUGGUCAAUGGUCAUUUAGCAGGUCAUCCGAUGAAGUGGUUGUAUCAGUGUCGUGUUUGGUAAUUAGAUGACUGUUGGUUGUAAAAAA